Molecule: long non-coding RNA, 1304 nt
Filed under: Salvator merianae (Argentine black and white tegu)
Lineage: Eukaryota; Metazoa; Chordata; Lepidosauria; Squamata; Teiidae
Description: lncRNA (ENSSMRG00000002977.1)
Source: RNAcentral
AGACAGCUAAAGCAAGGUACCCACUUCCCAUGGACAGCGGAUAUCUAAAAGAUGGGGAGGAGACCUCCAUCUUUCGUAAGAAUCACAGUCGAGCAGGCUCCUUGAAGAAAAAAGGAAAAGAACCAGAGGUGGUUUUUUUCCGUCUUGUUUUGGAUAACGCAUGGGCAAUGUGACAAUGUCGCCCCUCCCCUCCCCUCCCCCUCCCUUCCCUACUCAACACUUCUGUGUUCGUUCCAAAUCUCAGCCUCUCGUACAAGGCAAAGCAUGGGCCAAACUGCUGUCUUAUUGCGCCCCCCACUGCCGGUGAGCCGCAGAGAUCAAAAGAACGAUGGAGCGCAGUCUCUCUCUCCCUCCUUCCCUCCCUCCCUCCCACCCACCCAUCCUUCCUCGGCACCGCUGGCUUUCAGAACACCGUUCUGUGGUCACGCAGGCGAACCCCCCCCGCCGCCGUUUCGGGGUGGUUCCUCCUGAAGCGCCUUCUCUUUGCCCUGCCAGAGGGGGCCUCCCGCAGCCUACAAGCUACCUCCCGAGAGCUCUGGCAAGCAUCCUUGGGCGCGAGAGUUCGGAGGCUGAGCGUCUUCAGGUGGGGACCGAUUUAGGGCACCGCUGGGUGGGGUGGGGAGGCUCUUCUGCCGGCCCCGGCCCCGGCUGCAGCCAAGCCUCAGCUUCUCUUCAGCGCGCCGAACCCAUCCAAAUUCACCUCUUUCUCGGAGAAAGGAAGAAGAUCUGGGUGGCUUUGAAGAUCGUUUCCGAGAAUUCAGGGUGGUGGCGGCGGUGGUUUUCCUUCCUCUGGGCCAGGAGAAAAAGGAGCAAUAAACCUGCUGGGAUUUGCCUCGGAGAUGAACGAAAGAAGGAUGAUAUGGAGCAGACACCAAAGGCAGAACAAAACCAAUCACUUCUCAGCAACCAGUUANACGGAGCGCCCGACGGAAGACAUCUGACUGGACCGAGAAAUAAAUCCCUCCGCACUCUUUUGGCUUUACUCGGGCUUACUUCUCACGAGGUGCGCUCAAGCUUUCGGUCGAUUGCAGCUAAUUCCGACGGCAGCGUGAAAAGCUCUCAUAUUUCAAUAAACGGAAUUGAAUGACCUUGAACGUCGUCGGAGCGCUGUGCCUAUGCGUACUCGAUCCGCGACACUUGGGAUUGGGGUGCCUGACUUAGAAAUAAUUAACAAACCGUGCUGUACACCUUUCAGGGCUAACGAAUUUCUUUUGGCCUCGGACCUUCGGUAGCCUUCAAGGUGCCAUAAUUUUUACUAGUAAAAAAGAUAGUCUUUAAAAUAAAUAAAUAAAUAAAUAAAUACA